Long non-coding RNA from Mauremys mutica (yellowpond turtle), 705 nucleotides. RefSeq lists it as uncharacterized. The record is from RefSeq and is a predicted model, not a curated record. NCBI's taxonomy places the organism in Eukaryota, Metazoa, Chordata, Testudines, Geoemydidae. The transcript is spliced from 3 exons.
CUUGCAAGUGUAGCCAAGCCCUCAGCUACUUUCCUCUGCCUCACAUUGUUUGAAAUGCCCCUUCAAAACAUCUUAAAUGACAUCAAACAAGGAAAUUUCCAGGAAAAGUUGAGAUACAGGAUUAGUUGCUCUCAUUACCAGGUUAUAUUUUCCACGUAACUGGCAAAACAAAUGGAAGCUGUCAAGAAUAGCUGUUUGAACGACAUGUCAAUGUGCCUCUUUCCCGCUGAUCUAUCCUACUAUAUUGGCAAGGAACUUUUAUUCCCAGAGGAAGCUACAAUUGUUUUUCAGUGCAUAUGUUCCAGCUACUAAGAACAAAGUUCAAGCUGUUUUUCCAUUGUUGUUAUUGCACUCACCUUCUAGUAAUUCAUAUGAGGUGUCACUGUUCAUACAGCACUUGUUAAGUUAAAAAAAUGGUGUGAUUAGAUGACUUCUAACCGUAUACAAAGUGUUUCACUUCUAUGGCAUGCUUUAAUUGCAUACGGCCAAUCUAAACCUAGCUUCUCUGUAUGGUAGUGUUAACACUACAAAGUCAGGGAACUGGCAUACAACAUUACAAACAAAGUGUUCAGAUACUGUAAUAGCAGUGUCUGGUUACAGAUCUCUGUUACAUGACAGGAGUAACUUUAACAACCCUAUUCCAGGACUUAUGACUGGGACCUAUCGAUCUAAGGUAUUUAUAUGGCCCUGUUACCAUAGUAUCUG